RNAcentral lists this ribosomal RNA (420 nucleotides) under uncultured bacterium. Its description in RNAcentral is "bacterial SSU rRNA". It matches the Rfam family "Bacterial small subunit ribosomal RNA", at positions 355 to 775 of the family's 1533-position model. The record is from RNAcentral.
UGGGGAAUAUUGCGCAAUGGGCGAAAGCCUGACGCAGCGACGCCGCGUGGAGGAUGAGGCCCUUCGGGGUGUAAACUCCUGUUGCUCGGGACGAACCCCAGGCAUUGGCUUGGAUGACGGUACCGGGUGAGGAAGCACCGGCUAACUCUGUGCCAGCAGCCGCGGUAAUACAGAGGGUGCGAGCGUUGUCCGGAAUUACUGGGCGUAAAGGGCGCGUAGGUGGCGGGUCACGCGUGCCGUGAAAGCCCGGGGCUCAACCCCGGGUCGGCGGUGCGAACGGGCUUGCUGGAGCGUACGAGAGGCAGGCGGAAUUCCGGGUGUAGCGGUGGAAUGCGUAGAGAUCCGGAAGAACACCGGUGGCGAAGGCGGCCUGCUGGCGUACGGCUGACACUGAGGCGCGACAGCGUGGGGAGCAAACAG